GACUUAUAUUCUGUAGCAAGGUUAACCGAAUAGGGGAGCCGGAGGGAAACCGAGUCUUAAUUGGGCGUUAAGUUGCAGGGUAUAGACCCGAAACCCGGUGAUCUAGCCAUGGGCAGGUUGAAGGUUGGGUAACACUAACUGGAGGACCGAACCGACUAAUGUUGAAAAAUUAGCGGAUGACCUGUGGCUGGGGGUGAAAGGCCAAUCAAACCGGGAGAUAGCUGGUUCUCCCCGAAAGCUAUUUAGGUAGCGCCUCGUGAAUUCAUCUCCGGGGGUAGAGCACUGUUUCGGCUAGGGGGCCAUCCCGGCUUACCAACCCGAUGCAAACUGCGAAUACCGGAGAAUGUUAUCACGGGAGACACACGGCGGGUGCUAACGUCCGUCGUGAAGAGGGAAACAACCCAGACCGCCAGCUAAGGUCCCAAAGUCAUGGUUAAGUGGGAAACGAUGUGGGAAGGCCCAGACAGCCAGGAUGUUGGCUUAGAAGCAGCCAUCAUUUAAAGAAAGCGUAAUAGCUCACUGGUCGAGUCGGCCUGCGCGGAAGAUGUAACGGGGCUAAACCAUGCACCGAAGCUGCGGCAGCGACACUGUGUGUUGUUGGGUA
Molecule: ribosomal RNA, 604 nt
Filed under: Salmonella enterica subsp. enterica serovar Enteritidis
Lineage: Bacteria; Pseudomonadati; Pseudomonadota; Gammaproteobacteria; Enterobacterales; Enterobacteriaceae
Description: partial 23S ribosomal RNA
Rfam family: Bacterial large subunit ribosomal RNA
Source: RNAcentral